This 373-nucleotide ribosomal RNA is filed under the name uncultured Porphyromonadaceae bacterium. Its description in RNAcentral is "bacterial SSU rRNA". It matches the Rfam family "Bacterial small subunit ribosomal RNA", at positions 355 to 744 of the family's 1533-position model. Lineage: Bacteria; Pseudomonadati; Bacteroidota; Bacteroidia; Bacteroidales; Porphyromonadaceae. The record is from RNAcentral.
UGGGGGAUAUUGCACAAUGGGGGGAAAACCCUGAUGCAGCGACGCCGCGUGGAGGAAGAAGGUUUUCGGAUUGUAAACUCCUGUCGUUAGGGACGAUAAUGACGGUACCUAACAAGAAAGCAUCGGCUAACUCCGUGCCAGCAGCCGCGGUAAUACGGAGGAUGCGAGCGUUAUCCGGAUUUAUUGGGUUUAAAGGGUGCGCAGGCGGCGCGCCAAGUCAGCGGUCAAAGUUCCGGGCUCAACCCGGUGUCGCCGUUGAAACUGGCGUGCUCGAGUGCGUGCGAGGAAGGCGGAAUGCGUUGUGUAGCGGUGAAAUGCAUAGAUAUGACGCAGAACUCCGAUUGCGAAGGCAGCUUUCCAGCGCGCUACUGAC